Long non-coding RNA from Otolemur garnettii (small-eared galago), 192 nucleotides. RefSeq lists it as uncharacterized. NCBI's taxonomy places the organism in Eukaryota, Metazoa, Chordata, Mammalia, Primates, Galagidae. The record is from RefSeq and is a predicted model, not a curated record. The transcript has 3 exons.
UGUGCUCUUCUGAUGUAUUUGCUCUCAGUGGAUAGAAGACCUCAUCGCCAUCCAAUCACCAAGACCACCCCUAAGAGACCCACCUUGCUCACACCAAAACAGUCCCUUGCCCUGGACCUGACAUCCUGGACUCGUUCUGUUUAUCACUUGUGGCUGAGUGUAACCAGUAUACAAUAAAUCAUACCUUCUGCU